Molecule: long non-coding RNA, 204 nt
Filed under: Mytilus galloprovincialis (Mediterranean mussel)
Lineage: Eukaryota; Metazoa; Mollusca; Bivalvia; Mytilida; Mytilidae
Source: RNAcentral
GCGCACCCAAGAAACAACUUUAUAUAUGGUGAGAUUAUGUCAAUAGUUAUAAUAAAGCUUCUGUUAAAUUAUUUCGUUGUUUCUUGGCUGCGCACGAUGUUUCCACAUCGAAAAUAAAGAUAGAAAACUGCAUAAAUUCUGUAUCUUUCAUCGUUUUUGUGAAAACAGUACAUAUUAUGACGUGAUUGUGACGUCAUUGGAUAA